UACGGAGGGGGCUAGCGUUGUUCGGAAUUACUGGGCGUAAAGCGCACGUAGGCGGCUUUGUAAGUUAGAGGUGAAAGCCUGGAGCUCAACUCCAGAACUGCCUUUAAGACUGCAUCGCUUGAAUCCGGGAGAGGUGAGUGGAAUUCCGAGUGUAGAGGCGAAAUUCGUAGAUAUUCGGAAGAACACCAGUGGCGAAGGCGGCUCACUGGACCGGUAUUGACGCUGAGGCGCGAGAGCGUGGGGAGCAAACAGG
Molecule: ribosomal RNA, 253 nt
Filed under: uncultured bacterium
Lineage: Bacteria
Description: partial 16S ribosomal RNA
Rfam family: Bacterial small subunit ribosomal RNA
Source: RNAcentral